This 1374-nucleotide ribosomal RNA is filed under the name human gut metagenome. RNAcentral's name for it is "bacterial LSU rRNA". It matches the Rfam family "Bacterial large subunit ribosomal RNA", at positions 801 to 2263 of the family's 2925-position model. The record is from RNAcentral.
CGGAUGAAUUGUGGGUAGCGGAGAAAUUCCAAUCGAACCCGGAGAUAGCUGGUUCUCCCCGAAAUAGUUUUAGGACUAGCCUCAAGUUAGAUACCUGGAGGUAAAGCACUGAAUAGCCUAGCGGCCGAGAGGUUAGCGAAGCUUAUCAAACUCAGAAUGCCAGAGUAUUGAUGCUUGGGAGUCAGACAGUGUCAGAUAAAUGUCAUUGUCAAAAGGGAAACAGCCCAGAUCUACAGCUAAGGUCCCAAAGUCAGGUUAAGUGGAAAACGAUGUGAAGAUACGCAGACAACCAGGAUGUUGGCUCAGAAGCAGCCACUCAUUCAAAGAGUGCGUAAUAGCUCACUGGUCGAGCGUCUUUGCGCGGAGAAUUUAACGGGGCUAAACCUGACACCGAAGCUUAGGCAAUCCAGUAAUGGAUUGGGUAGGGGAGCGUUGUAUACGCGGAGAAACAGUAGCGUAAGCGGCUGUGGAGUGUAUAGAAGUGAGAAUGCCGGAAUGAGUAGCGCGAAUGCAGUGAGAAUCUGCAUGGCCGAAAGCCUCAGGUUUUUGGAGGAAGGUUCGUCCGCUCCAAGUUAGUCGGGAGCUAAGGUGAGGCCGGAAGGCGUAGCCGAUGCACAGACGGUAGAGAUUCCGUCACCACCAAAAGAGUUAAGCACAGGGACACAUUUGAAGUCUCAGAGCCGGGUGUUGGUUCCGGUAGAGAUCGAGGGAAAUUAGUACCGAAGUCUGAGAUGGAAGAUGGCGAGAAAAGCUGUGUGUAUUUCUGAGGUGCCCGUACCGCAAACCGACACAGGUAGGUAGGAAGAAGAUUCUAAGGCCAACGGGAGAAGGGUUGUUAAGGAACUCGGCAAAUUGACCCCGUAACUUCGGGAGAAGGGGUGCUCCAGAGAUGGAGCCGCAGAGAAUCGGCCCAAGCAACUGUUUACCAAAAACACAGGUUUGUGCUAAAUCGAAAGAUGACGUAUACGAGCUGACGCCUGCCCGGUGCUGGAAGGUUAAGAGGAGAUGUGCAAGCAUUGAAUCGAAGCCCCAGUGAACGGCGGCCGUAACUAUAACGGUCCUAAGGUAGCGAAAUUCCUUGUCAGGUAAGUUCUGACCCGCACGAAUGGCGUAACGACUUGGGCGCUGUCUCAACAGCCCACCCGGCGAAAUUGUUGUACUGGUGAAGAAGCCAGUUACCCGCAACUAGACGGAAAGACCCCAUGGAGCUUUACUGUAGCUUAAUACUGGAAAUCGGUAAAUCAUGUACAGGAUAGGUGGGAGACUUGGAAGCCAGGGCGUCAGCUUUGGUGGAGUCACCCUUGGGAUACCACCCUUGAUUUGCUGGUUUUCUAACCUGCGGCCGUGAAUCCGGUCGGGGGACACUGUUAGGUG